UCUCACAUAACUCUGCCGCUCCCGAGACUACCACCGCCUCUCAUCACACCCGUGUGUUGAUUUCUCUCGCAAUCUCAGUGCCUCUCAGACCCACAUCUUUCACUUUAUUGAUUUCUCUCUCAAUUUCCUCUGCAAGACCAGAAUUCAGAACUCCAACCCUUUGGCAAUGGAAAGGCACAAAGAGCAUUCUGAGGGUUCAAGACGCCGAUUUGUCAUUCAAGAGAUUUCGCCCGUUCAGCAGAAGAGAUCCCGAGCCCUAGGUGCAACCGAAUUCAGAAUACCUGAUGAGGCAAGAGGUACUUCAUCGGGGCCAUAUGUGUUCCGAACUUCAAUACGAGAGAGAAGCCUGAAGGGCAAGAAUUCACCGAUCUCUUUCGCCUGGUCACUAGAGCCGCUAAUUAUGAGCGGUUGCUGAAGGAAAAGAAACAGAGAAGACUUCAUCUAGGUCUCAAAUUUGUUGGUGUCGCUCCUUCAUCUCUCUCGUCAUUUCGCUCAUUCCUGGCUCCUCCUGCAGAUUGCUCCACCCAUACGGACUUGGAAAAAUGGAAGUUAUAGGUGGCUGAGUCUUGCUAAGUUCUAUGGCUUGCCCAAGGAAGUCUACCAAGGACUAUUCUUGACCUUUUAUCUUGGAUCCAUUGCCCUUUGAUCCCAAGCCACUAGAUAAUUCAAGAGGGAUUGUUCAUGCGGAGCAUUUGUUGAAGGAUAGCAUGUUGGUUGUUUGAUGCCAAACCUUCAACUUCCAAGUGCUUGAAGCGCUUUAAAUUAGAAGGAUUAUUGAUGUUGAGCAUAUCUCGGAGGAUUGCAUGUUGGUUGUUGGAGAUCACACCUUCAAAGGAUUAUUGAUGUUGAGCAUAUCUCGGAGGAUUGCAUGUUGGUUGUUGGAGAUCACACCUUCAACUUCAAGUGCUUGAAGCGCUUUAAAUUAGGUUGUAUCCUCUCCUUCACAUUUACUUUUCCUAUGGAAUGUCGCUGGUUGAGUUCUGUGAUUGGGAAUUGUCUAAGUGUGGGGAGGUAUCUAGUAGGAAAAAAAUUCAUCCAUUGCAUUGAGUUUGUGUUGCAGUUAGGUUUUGUCAUUUUGAAGCUUUCUUUCCCUUGUUGAUCUAACUGUGGGGAGAUCCAUUGCGCAUUGAUCUCAAGAUACUGGAUAAUUCAAGAAGGAUUAUUAAUGCUGAGCAUAUCUCAAAGGAUUGCAUGUCUCAACAUCAAGUGCUUGAAGCGCUUUAAAUUAGGUUUGUAUCGUCUCCUUCACAAUUACUUCUCCUAUGCAAUAUUGCCGGUUGAUUUUUGGGCUUGGAAAUUGUAGGCAUCUAGUAGGAAAAAAUUCAUCCAUUGUAUUGAGUUUGCAUUGCAGUUAAGUUUUGUCAUUUUGAAGCUUUCUUUCCCUUAGGUGUUGCAUUCAUUUAGGCUGAUGAGUCUAUUUGCAUUGAGGGCAAUGCAACAUUUAAGUGUCAGGGGAGGUUUGUUUUAGGUCAUUUUGCAUAGUGUUAUGAGUUGGCCAAAGUUUUUGAAAAAAUUAAAAAUUUUCUGAUUUUAUUUUUGAAAAAGCUUUGGAAAAUUAAAUGAACAGGUUUGUUUUGAUAUAAGAAUGCUUAGUUUGAUGAGAUUGCCAAUUAGACUUGAAGUGUAGCUAGGAUAGGAUAGAAUGUUCUACUUGGUUUGCUUGAGCCAGGGGAUAAUAUGGCCCUGAUGAAAGGUGUUUUUGAGCCUAUAUUGAUUCCUUUCUAGUGUGCAUUAUCCACUUAUUCCAUUUCAUUCUUCAGAACUUGUUCUAAUUCUUAUCAAAUCUACUUUUGCAUAUGCAUUUUGAAGAUGAUUAAGGCAUUUGGAUAAAAUAGCCAAUCUAGUCAAAUGGCCAACAUAUCAUGAUUAUAUCCUUUGCUAGCCACUUUGGGCCUAUUGAUUAUUUUCCUUCAUUCCAUUCAUGAUUUACACACUCUUGCUUUCUACGAAUGCAUCUUAUGCUAUAUUGUUGAAUGUAUUGAGUCUCUUCGGUGAACAUGGUCCAACUUGAGCUCAUGUAGGAAUUAAUUGGAAUCAUUGAAGGGCGAGCUGACUUAUACUCACAAUUUAAUGUAAGUGCUUUUUUUUCGUAAUGGUUAUUUGGGGAGUGUGUUCAUUUUUUAAUGUCAGUUGAUUUAUUUCCAUUUCAUUUGGAAUUGUUUUAGGGUUUAGGGUUUAGGGUUUCUCUAUUCUUGUUGUGCCCUUCUUCCCACUUUAAAUUUGACCUGUCUUUGGAAACGGGAGUAAUUUGCAUUAACUACGUAUUAAGCUCUAGGCUUCAUGUUGGGGGAAAAUUUUAGGAUGAAUAUUAUGGUUGAAUGGGUGGAUGAUGUCAAAAUGAUCAUGUUGAGUAGUUGACUUAUGUCUUGGAAUGUUAUCUAAUGAUACCCAGAUAAGAGUUCAAACUGCAUAUGUUUUGAUUCAGGUGAAAUGGCACUGACGUUGACUUUCAUUAUUUAUAAUGGUUAGUCUUUAACCUAGUGAGGAGUUGAGCCUACUUUAGGAUUCCUUUCUAGUGUGUAUUCAGCUAUCAAGAUUUUCACCCUAGAACUUGUUUUUAUUCUUUGUUGAUGCCAUAUUUGCAUGGCUUGCAUAAAAACGAUCAAGUCAUUCAUUUCAUGAUUAACUAGUUGGCCAAAAAGCUAACCUUGAUGCAUUAUAUUCCUUGUUAACUCCUUUGAUCCUUUGUUUACUUUCUUUUUGAAAUCCAUAACCAUUUUUGUAAACAAUAAUUUUCCCACCUUGUUAGGAUAUUUUAGAGGUUCAUAAGCAUUUAUUUUAUCUAGCCAAAAUCCUCUCAAUGAUUGACUGAAUAACAAUGAAAUAAAAGAGAAUAUUCUGUAAUCUGUUAAAUAAUUACGGAAUAUAAUGAUACAAUCAAAAAUAGAGAAACUAGGGUUUUUUUUUUUUUUAACGUA
This is a long non-coding RNA of Prosopis cineraria, 2918 nucleotides long. RefSeq lists it as uncharacterized. NCBI's taxonomy places the organism in Eukaryota, Viridiplantae, Streptophyta, Magnoliopsida, Fabales, Fabaceae. The record is from RefSeq and is a predicted model, not a curated record. The transcript is spliced from 4 exons.